GGACCGGUGCUCCGAGGGGUCGAUGGGGGCGGGCUUUUAAUCCGCACGCGGAAGCGCAUCGUGGGUUCAAAUCCCACCCGGUUCUCCA
Molecule: transfer RNA, 88 nt
Filed under: Rhodobacter phage RcXuper
Lineage: Duplodnaviria; Heunggongvirae; Uroviricota; Caudoviricetes
Description: tRNA-Lys
Rfam family: tRNA
About the family: Transfer RNA (tRNA) molecules are approximately 80 nucleotides in length. Their secondary structure includes four short double-helical elements and three loops (D, anti-codon, and T loops).
Source: RNAcentral